Long non-coding RNA from Chelonia mydas (Green sea turtle), 9823 nucleotides. RefSeq lists it as uncharacterized. NCBI's taxonomy places the organism in Eukaryota, Metazoa, Chordata, Testudines, Cheloniidae. The record is from RefSeq and is a predicted model, not a curated record. The transcript has 2 exons.
UCAGAGUUAACUGGUAGGCAAGAGGCAUUACCUCUUGUACAGCCCAUCUUCCUAUGUGCUUAUGGUCACAAUUUACUGUUCCUUCUGAGUCAAUACUAGAAAAGGGCCCAGUGGGAUAGCAGGUGCUGUGCUACUGGAGGAUCUGCAAAAUCAGGAGAGUCCUGACCAACUGUUGGCAUGAAAAAUCCGAGGUUAACAUCCCACAAGAUCAACUACUGAACCUACAAGUCCUGCCAUAGUACCUCAAGUGACCUUGUCAACUUUGAAAGCUGGUCGACAAUCCUCUUACUGCUCAGAAAUGCUGUCCACAGUUUUAGAACAGUGCUAGAUAAGGAUGCCAGCAAGAAUCUGCCUAUCCUCAUCUGCCUAUAUUCCCCUCUCACAUUCUCUGUUAUAAGAAGUCUAGAAAAACUCACAACAACUGACAGUUGAACCCAUGUAUAAAGACAGAAUGUCUCAAAAGAAUGUUGGCCACUACUUGGAUUAGGAAGGAAACCUUACAAAGCUAUCAGAGAUGUUCUAGUAACAAGAUAAGGCUAUUUCACUUCAACAUGGAAAAAAUCUGAUAUUGAAGUAGUCUUCAGUCCAGCAAGAUAGUUGUUCCUCAGGUUGGCCUUUAAUACUACAGGCAAAAAAGUGUCAAGAACUAAGUGCACCUACAUUUUUGUUCCCACAAUUAACUAAUUACCUAAAUGCUUCUACAAACAGAGGAGAAAAAACCUACAGGCUCCAUCAGAACUGUGCAAUCAGAACCAGAAGCCCAGUCGACAAGGCUGUUUUUAAAAAGUAGACCUUUAUGUAUAUACACAAUAUGUAAUGGAAGUGCUUAGGAUUCUGCAUUUACAGUUUCUAAAAGGCAUUCUAUUCAUAGACAUAAUUCAACCUUUCUAAUAUAUUUUGUUUUUCACUUCUUACUGGUGGUUUUUGUUUUGCUUAAAUUGGUAGAAAUAUUUGCAUAAAAAUAAGGCACCAGUUCCUCAGCUGGUGUAAAUCAGAAUAAUUUUAUUAGAAUCAGUGAAGCUAUGAUGAUUUUCACCAACUCGGGGACUGGUCCAUGGGGGUUUAACUUUAAGAGCCCAUUCGCUCAGCCAGUUUUUUACCCACUUGAAGCCAUAAUCCCCUAUAUGCAACAUCACAAUUAGUUACUGUAGAGAUAAUUGUGAUGUCAGAAACAGGAUUAUAACUUCAAGUGAUUAAAAAAGCAGCAGGAGUAGAUGGGCUCCUGGGGAACAAAUAUCUGAAGUUUUGGGCUAUUGUCCCUCAUGGCAAAAAGAGGGAAAAGCAAAAAAACAUAAAAUAUUAAAGGAAAAUAUUUCCCAAAUAUAUAUUUUUUCAGCAUUUUCCAGGAGGCAUUUACAGUUCUUUAAAUAGCCAUUUUCAAAGUCCACUGUUUGACACCCCCUCCCCAACCUUUUGGAGUGGGAGAGUAUAUCAUUAGGUAGUCACACUCCAGAAUGAAGAUCUACAAUUGUGUUUUUUACAUCACAGAUGACUAUUAUGCUUUAACAUUGCUACUGAAAUGGUAAUAAAUUUCCCACAUACAAAGGCUUGUUUUAAAAGCCAACAAUGUGUACUGUUUUUGAUGAAUCAUCUAAACAAGCUCACCAGCAAUUCUAGGGGUGUCAAGAAAGAAAGAAAGUCGAGAGAAUUAAAUACCCUUCCACUCCCCCACCCUAUAAGCAGGUCCAUAUUAAUGGAUGGACUAUGAUGAGUUUCCAACAUUUGCCAAGCCAAAUGAGUUGAAAAAUGAACCAGUUCUCUAGGACUUCAGGUUUCCCUUGCAUUUUGAAAAAUUAUGGUGUACACUUGUGCAUGCUACUCCAACCAAGUUUGUGAAAGUGGAGAUUCUAGAUACACAGGGUCAAAACGAGUGCUGUCUUUUCUGUUGACAACUAUAUCACACAGUUCCCUAAAUUCCUGAGUGGAACACAAAUGAAUCACAGCUAUAGCCAGUUGCUGGUCUACUGCAUGGAGCCACUGCACCUGAAAUCAAGUCUGCUCUAAAAAAGCUCACCAGCAAUUCCGGGGUCGAGUCUGAGAAAGAAAGGAAGUCAAGCUGAUGAAGAAUGCAAAAAAAACCCCUCACAUCCACGAUGUUAACAGCAAAAAACAUAAGGAAUAUAAAGAGAGAGCUAUUAGGCUAUACACAUUGUGAUUAGCAGCAAUAUUUUACCAAUGUAAUGGGAAAUCUUAGACUGAUUUAGAGGCACCCUACUUAACAUGCUGGUCCUUGCUAAACAUUUCAGGGAAGCUAUCAGCAGCAAGAAAGCAUCUUAGCAACUAUUUUGCUUUGUUCUGAAACCAAUAUGGCUGAAGUUUUAAAUAUUGCGUAUUUAAAUAAUGGAUUUUAAAAAUAUAUUAGCCUUAAAACAAUCCACCACCAGCAGCAUGUAUCUGACCCAUCUAAAACACACUUCUCUGUGGGAAAGAUAUAUAUGGGGCUUGGUUGCUUUUUGACUUGACAAACAAGUUGAUGGCACAGCAUUAUUUCUAAUAACUUCUAACGGCUCCUUCCUUUUUAGAAAGCAGAAAUUCAUUGCCAACACAUGGCUCCCAUUCACAAGAAUAUUUAUGGUGCUGAUAAUUGAAUUCCAGUCAUGUGACUCAACAAGGCUAACUUUUUUUUUUUUUUUAAGAUCAACUGUAAUUUCUAGACAUCUAUAAAUUUCUUCACUCUCUCCUUAGAGAGGAAGCUCCCUGGAGCUCUGCGGAUUCCCUCACUUUUAUUUAUCACCCCUCUCUUCUAAGCUAUGAAUGUCAUAAUUCUUCCUCGUAAAGAGCUGGACGCAGUUUCAAUCAAAAACACUCCUUGCAUCAACCAGAAGUCACUAAAGCGCAGCUAGAGUAACACAAGACACUCCCCACCACGGCCUUCGGGGACUGAGCACACUUUCUCCAUAGCACUUACAACCCCUACUGACUUAAGCUUGACACUGAAGUCAGGACUCUAACUUUUACCCUUCAUCACAACUGUGUUGCAAUCUGACUGUCAGCUGUAGCUGACUUUUGACCACUGUUGCCUCUCCACCUCUGUGAUUCAGCAGGGAGACUUUCUUAGCCUUCUAAAGCAGACAAAGAAACACUUUCCUAAAUGAUGUUCCUUUUAACAAUCUCCAUUCAGUGGAGGAACAAAGACUAAGGGCCUAAAACAGAGCAACAUCGGUGUAUAAUCUGUGGCAGCUCCACAAACUUCAAUGCAGUUACUCUAGUGUAAAAUCAGUGAGUGUGAUCAGAAUCAGGCUCUCGGUACGUGAGACAAUCACGCUAGCAUUAGCAAUGCCAUUUAUUACUUGCUCCAGUUCACAAAUAACAUAAAAGCAAUACAACUGGUUCUAUCUAUUAUUUAGUCAAAGUUUCCUUACAUUUCUGAUUCAACAGGUAAACAAAGCUACCAUUAGCCCAAGGCCAGUACAGUAGUAGAACAAUGUCUCUUAACAAGCAAAAAAAUGCCUAUUUUCCUGGCUCUUUAAUGGCUUUUUCAAAUAAAUGGGUUCUGACUGUAAAAAAGCCAUAACCUUUUAAAACGGCUGUCAAAUAAUUUUUAAGUAUAUUUUAUUGUUUUUGCUCUGCUUUGUUAAUGAUAAUUUAUUAAAAACUUAAAAUAUUUUUUCAAACCAUUUUUAUGCUCAGCAAUUUGGCAAAUGAACACUAUUUUUCUGUGCUUUGAACAGACCUUGAAUUAAUAUGACUAUUUUUGGUUCAACCAAAUUGACUUUUAUUGCGCUUUAUUGCCUCUAAAUAUCUUUUUGUACUCCAGCACAGAUUGUUGUUCUUUAAUGUUUCUUCAUUAAAAGAAACUCUACCAUUUUGCUCAGCCUAUCUGACUCCCAAAGCCAAAAAAUAUUUAUGAUCAGCAUGAAUAAACUGUGAAACAUAUAUUCAGACAUAGAUAAAAAACUGGCACCUUUAAGUGUAGUAUCAGUGGCAGUCAUCUUACUAAAAAGUCAUAGUAUAUAGAAGUGUGAGAACCCCAUACUAAAUACCUGGGAUGAAAUCCUGGUCCUAUUGAAUGGGAAUACUUUAAAACUGAAUUAACUGGGAUUGCGGAGAUGCAGGUUCUAUUCUCCGCUAUACCACUGCCUUGCUGUGAGAUCCUCAGCAAGUCAAUUUCACUGAUCUGUGUCCCAUUUUUUCCAUCUAUAAAAUAGGGACAAUGCUACUUACCCAUUUUUGCAAAGCUUUUUGGCAUCGCUAGACAAAAAGUGUUAAAUAUUGAGCGGCAUUUUAAAAGUAUAAAGUGUAAUAUAACUGAUAAGUAUCAAUCAUAAAAAAGAACUAUAAUAUUUAUACAUUUAAUAUUUGCAUAAAUGUCAUACAACUUCUUACUUUAGGAGAUUUUAGACUGCUGCUCUGAGCAAAAUGACUGGUGUUUUAACUAGUUCUUCAGACCCAGACAGGCAGCACAAAUUUGUGUGGUUUUUAUAGAUCCUACAAAAAUAGUUGUUUAAAAAAAACAUUUAUUGGGAAUAAAGUAGUAGAUGGCCAAGUGCCCUCUUCUAUCAUUGCUGUCAGACCAGCUUUCCUCAGAGGAGCCCUGCAUAUCUCUUCCAUGUAAAUUGUGUCUCUCCGUUUGUCCAUUUCAAUGGAGCUAUGACAAUUUACACAGUUUGAGGAGCUGGCCCCAGAAGUUUGCUUUUACUUUUUCUUCUUGGGUUUCUUUCCUCUUUGACUCAACUUUUCUUUCUCCCACCAAACAAUGUGAUAAGUAAGGCCUUGUUUUCCAGAUAAAUAGAGAACUCCCCACAAGCACAUUAGCCAAGUCCUGCUGCAAAAGGAAAACAUUGAUAAGUGGGUACAAAAAAGAUUCUCGACUACCGGCCACAAUUAAACUUCUUUUUAGAUUAAUCAUUACAGCCGAGUGCCCACACAAUGAAAAUAUUGUCAUGGUAGAUACCACCAGGCCUUUGAUUUUUAGAGGCCUGAGGUAAGCCUGGUUAUUCCCGACCCUUCAAAUCUUUCUGAGAAAUGUCUGCAGUGCCCAGGCUGCAGGCAACAGCUUCUAUUUAAAUGGCAGCCUCAAAGGAACAUAGCGAGCGAGAGUUUUUCACAAUAUUGUGAGUGCCUUUCUAAGACCAGCCUGCAGGUUUUGCAGUUGCCUGUGGCCAGCUCUGACUGUAUCUUUGCUGAAGCUUAGCUCCUACUGCCCAACAAAAAAGCUGGACGAGUUUUGCGUUUCAUUCUAUUAGCUGCUGCAAUGCAGUUGGAAUAAUUUACUUUUGUGUAUUUAAACUGGUGUGUAUGUGCUCAUAACACAAGAACUAGGGGCCACCAAAUGAAAUGAAUAGGCAGCAGGUUUAAAACAAACAAUAGGAAGUAUUUUUUCACACAACACAGUCAACCCAUGGAACUCCUUACCAGAGGAUGUUGUGAAGGCCCAGCCUAUAAAAGGGUUAAAAAAAGAACUAGUUAAAUUCAUGGAGGAUAGGUCCAUCAAUGACUAUUAGCCACGAUGGGCAGGGAUGGUGUCCCUAGCCUCUGUUUGCCAGAAGCUGGGAAUGGAUGAGAGGGGAUGGAUCACUUGAUGACUACCUGUUCUGUUCAUUCCCUCUGGGGCACCUGGCAUUGGCCAUUGUCGGAAGACAGGACAUUGGCCUAGAAGGACCUUUGGUCUGACCCAGUAUGGCCAUUUGUAUGUUCUUAUGUGAAUUCAGCGAUAGCGAGAGGUGCCAGAUUGAUCUACGGAACAAAUAAAGCCUGGGGCAGGUGCAGUACAAUUUUCCCCACACUGCUCCAUCAAUGUGCCUUAACCCUGACCUGGAAGAGCAAUCUGUAGGGGUGAGGAAGGAGUUUAAAGGCCAUGUUCAUUUAGGGUGCAAUUCACCUGUGUGCAGGAGGUCAGAAUAAGGCCUGUGCACCACCUGAACCACACUUAGACCCAGUUUCUUCCUCAGUCCUUUGUAUCUGCCGACACUGUCAACCAGGCUGCCAGUUACUGCCAGUUUUGGUAGUUUUUUUGUGAUGUGUCCUCUACAUCAAGAUCAUUUCACAAAGGCCAUCACAGAGCCAUCAGAUGUCACAAGGCCAGGUCCUUAGCUUGUGUAAAUCCGCAUAACUCCAUCAAAGCUGAGAUUAGAAAGUGUGUGCUUUGUUCCAAAAUUGGAACUUUGUACAAACAAAGAACAGUUUUAGCCUCAUCCAAAAGAAUUCCUAUAACACACUAAUAACCUGGACUAGAUUUGAAACAGAGGUCUAGAGGUAAAAAGAAUCUAGAGUUUAUUACUAAUCUCAGGAUUCACUCCCUUAAAUCAACCCUUUCUUUACUUUUCUUUCUAUAAAAAUGGCCUUGCACAAGUUAUGUUUCAUAAUAAAAAUUAAACUUCACCAUUAAAAAAUACAAUAGCACCCAGGAAACCUAAAAUUAAAAUAUCUUUCCUUACAAAGUUAUUUUCUUAGAGGUGUGGAAAGUGAUUUUAUUGUGGAUUUAUUCAAGAGCUGAAGAUAUUCUUUAUUUUUGUGCUGGUUUGUUAUGGUGCAUCAAUCCACAGUACUACAGAGAUAUUCACAGGCAAGCCACUGAUAUAAUAUAUUGGGUCAAUAACUAGUAACAAUCCAUAAUAAUAAAUAACAAUGCACAAUAUAGAUCCAUGUAAAGGAAGUCAUUUGCGCAAUAAAUUGUGCAUUAUAGAGAUCAACCAUUGUACAGAUCAGUAGAUCGAAGUAUUAUACAAAACCUAGAUAUAGAAAAGAACAUAUCUGAUCAUCCAGUCCAGCUCUCUGCCAAUGCAGAACAUUUUCUAGUGCUUUUUCCGUUCUGUUUUUAAAUGUCUCAGGCUAAGGGGCUUGCAACAUUUAUUUUGGGAGAAUAUUCCACUAAUACAUCUCACUGACAGUACAUUUUUAGCUGUACCCCCACAUACCAUCCUAUAUAAUUCUCUGCCCUUUCCUUGGUAUUCACACCCUUCACAUAUCUGUAGACUACAGUCAGAUCUUCUUUGGUCUUCUUUAGCUCACUUGAACUUAUUUUGAAUUUUUAGGGUCACACUGUGAUAUCCCUACAAUAAAUAGCACAUUAUUUCACAGCCCCAUUGACUUCAAGGAGAGUACCUGUGGAGUAAGGAGAUACUCAGUGUGAGUAAGGGGAUCACAAUCUGGCCCUUAAUCUUCACUCAUAAACCAUAUGACUAGCUCCCUGUUCCCCCAGUUUCUGCAGCUCUUUGCUGACUUUCCCAGAAGAUGUCAAUAUCUCUCUGCAGCACCCAGAACUGAAUUCCUGGGGCAGUUAAAGCUGAGCCAAACAGAGGGAGUUUACAACUAUCUUGACCCAUGAUGUGGUGCCUCAGAGUAAAUGAACAGACUAAAAUGACUUCAUCACAACUUUUGGCAACAUGACUCCUUUAAGAUUCUGCUCCUCCCAAGGGUGUUCUCCAUACCCCUUACUAGAACCCUGAGAAGGCAGUGUGACAAGCGAUUUCAAGGAGGGGUAAUGGUCAAGUCAGCUAAUUAUGGAGAAGGGAUUUUCAUAGUUUAACAAAAGUCAAUCUUCGAGGAGAUUAAAAACUGAGAGAAAACAAACAUUCCUGACCCCUAAAUAUAGAGCAGUAGAACAGAACAGCAUUUAAUGGUUUGUAAAUAUAAACAUAGAGCUACAGAUCUGUUGCUUAUUUCUACCAUAAUCCCUUUUCAAACUCAUUCUCCUAAUGUAUAUGAGAAGUAUUAAUUUUUAAACCUAUAUAAGUUCUUGGAGACAAUGCAGACUGACUUAAUUAUAAUCAAUAAAAUUUACAGACAGUGAUGCAACCCAGCAGAAAUGCUCCUACCAAAAAGUACAGCACAAGAUUACUCUACAGUUUCUCUGCUGCACUACAGUAAUAUGACCUUAAUAAAUAUUUUAUGAUAGACAAUGAAUAACCAACUAUCAAAAUGGCAAGUUUUAAUCACUAGGAAAUAAUAACUGAGCAAGUUUACUGAAGAAAACAGAUGUAUUCAUAAUAAGUAACUUAAAAUGUACUGUUCCGGGUGCAGUCUAGUCACCUACGAAGACUGUUCUGUGAAGAAGGCAAGGACUGCUCUAACUUCUGGCAUGUCCAACCUAUCACGUUGUAGAUUGCACUGUGUGAUAUAAUGGUUUUACUGGUGUACUCCAAAAGACAAAUAAUGGUCUUACUUUGGAAGCAAUCUACCCAAAUUCACCAUUUCUCUUUUACGUCUCACAAAAAUGUGCAUAAAAUGAAGAAGGUUAUAUUUCCCUACUGCAUUCACCUAUGAGGCAAUAGCACUCCUGUGGCUGGCUAUGCAAAUCCUCUGCAAGUGAAAAUCGAUACACGGACUCCUUCAAUGACCAGUGCUUCUUUUUACCAAUAAACCAGUAAGCCGGUAGAGACUUAGCAGAGAUUGAAACUCUCAGUCUCCAAUGUUCCAGAAGGUACACAGCAUUUGCCAAAAUUAUAGAGCCAAAUUCUUCUCUCAUGUACACCGAUGAAGCCUCGUUGCCUUUGAUGCGGUCACACGGUAUAACGGAGAACACAGUUUAUAAGACGAUCAUUAGCAUUUCUAUGGUUCAGUCCAGCUUGGUGGUACAGUAUAAUUAAUUUUACUAUUUCCAUUUGGAGAAGCUCCCCUUUGUCACUGGUAGAUACAAAAAUCAAAGGGAUAUGAACAGAACAACUUACUCUGUUUAUCUUAGCUAUUUAUAUGGCCCCUCUUACUGUAAGAGUAUAUGAGCACGAAACAAUCUUUUAAAGUAUUUAUCCUGGGAGGUAGUAAAGCACAAUUAUUUUCAUUUUACAGAUAGAGAACUAAGGCAUGGAGAAACUAAGUGAUUUGCCCAUGGUUACAUACGAUAUCAGUGGCAGAGGAAUAAUUAACAUGGGACUCCUACAGCCCACAGUAGGGUCCUAAACACCAGACUAUCCUUCCCCUCUCUUAAGUCACACAGGAAGUCUGUGGCAGCACAGGGAACUGAAUUCAGGAAUUCCACACUAGCACCCUAACCAUCCUUCCUCUCCUAUUCAGUCUUCCUUCUCCAUGCUAGUCCCAUUCUCCCCUCUUAGGGUAGGUCUACACUUCCGCUUACGUCGAUCUAACUUACGUUGCUCAAGGGUGUGAAAAAAACCCUCUCCUGCUGACAUAGCUUCCGCCUCUCGCGGAGGUGGAGUAAUUAUGCUGAAGGGACAGCGCUCUCCUGUCAGCAUAGAGUGUCUUCACCAGACGUGCUACAGUGGUGCAGCUGCAUCAGUGCUGCUACGCUGAUGUAGGGCUUCUAGUGUAGACCUUCCCUUAGUGAGUGCACACUAAUUUGCUCAGAAAAAGCAUGAUCUACAACCUGAGAGAUGUGAGAAGGCUCACUUAUUUUUGUGUGAUAAUAUUUAGCACUCAUAGAGCGGUCAGUAUCUUCAGAGUCCUGUACAAUGAUUCCCUAAUUAAUCCUCACAGCACCUCUGUAUGAUGAUUAUUACAGACGGGGACACUGAGAGACAGAGGGUUAGCUGCCUUGCCCAUUUUUGUGGCCCAAAGCCCAGGCUACUUCUUUAUAACUGUGUUUUAAACUGUUCUGUAUGAAGGGAUAUUGCCUUCUGUCUGUGACUGAUGAUUUGCUGUUGACAGUAUGAGUUUGAUAUCCAUAAAUAUAAAUGCUGAAUAACUAUUAAGUAAAGAAAAGAAGAUAUCUUCUUUUGUAAAUAUAUUUUAGCUGGCAUAGUAAAUUACAUGGAUGCAGAAGUCACUCGUUUCCAAAGCUCCACACAUUAUCAGCCUGUAUUAUUCAAUUUGAGGUUUUAAUUUAUAACAUACUCCUGGUAAUGUACUCCCAAUACAUUCCUUACUUCCCUUCUCUGUGAAUGACAAAGGAUGAAAGAUCUUUACUGUAUAAAUAUUUCAUACUAAA